This is a long non-coding RNA of Homo sapiens (human), 876 nucleotides long. Ensembl annotates it as long intergenic non-protein coding RNA 578. Lineage: Eukaryota; Metazoa; Chordata; Mammalia; Primates; Hominidae. The record is from Ensembl.
GGAAUCUGGUGGCUUAAACCUAGCUGUCCACAUUUCACUAUCUGAAGAGCAGAAAAUGUGUUAAUAGGAGCCUGGUGAGUGGAGGAGACUGAAGAUGGAGAGAGAGCCUGGACCUCAACAUGAGCAUCUGGAGCCAUUUGGCAGCAUUAGGCUGUGACCGCUUAGAGAACCGAAAGGUGCAGAGCUUUAAAGGAUUAUGGAGUCUGAAGACCAAAUGGGAUGAUGGAGAACAGCUAUUCAGUGGUACAAAUGUAAAUGCUCCCAGGCCCGGGCAGAAACACCACCUGGAACACAGCUGUGACUUGAUAAACAAGUGAAACAUUCUUUGGUGUGGUGAGGGGAAAACAAAUUUCUCAAAGGACACGCACCAUGGUGUAUGAGAGGACACUGGAGCCCAGCCAGCAUCUGACAUGCUGAAUUCAAAGUGCAGGUGAAAGUAGGACAACUGAUUCACAAGCUGGGAUGCCUGUGUUGUUGUUUGCCAGUGUGCGUGUGUGUGUUUUCCUGGCACCCUUCAUUCAUUCCCCAGCACAGUUGACAUCAGGUUGGAAGCAGUGAGUUCUGAGGGAGACUGCUAGAGGACCCAACUUGGAGAAUCAACGAUCUGCGAUGAAGAUAAUGAAGAUAAAGACAAUGUCAAUGUCAGCGUCCAAAAUCAUAAGGACCCUUUAAGAAGCUUCCAGAGCAGAAGUGACUGUGCAAGAAGGGCCAAUAAAGUCUAGGCAAUGCACGACCAGGCGCGGUCGCUCACGCCUGUAAUCCCAGCACUUUGGGAGGCCGAGGUGGUUGGAUUACCUGAGGUUAGGAGUUUGAGACCAGCCUGACCAACAUAGUUUCACCCCAUCUCUACUAAAAAAAAAAAAAAAAACAAAACAA